RNAcentral lists this unclassified non-coding RNA (689 nucleotides) under Hevea brasiliensis (rubber tree). The record is from RNAcentral. Lineage: Eukaryota; Viridiplantae; Streptophyta; Magnoliopsida; Malpighiales; Euphorbiaceae.
GUGGAAACCAGCUAUGCAGGGGAGGGGGAACAAGGGGAGUCGGGGAAACUUCACUCCUCGCCAUGUCUUGCUUGAUGCUGGUGGUGGAAGGAACUCUAGACCUGAUAAGGAAAAUGGAGCCAGUCAUGUUUCUGGAAAGAGUGUCAAUCCAUCUUCCGUGCCUACUGUUGAGGGGAAGAAUACUUCAAGCUCAUCAAGUGCCAGAGCCAUUCGUCCUGGUGUUGUAGCUUUUGGGAGUAACAAUGUUGUACCUAAUGCACAUGCAUCAGCAGGAAGAGGGAUUAAGCAAUCUGAAGCCACUGCGGGUGCUGGCUCUAUUAAGUCGGAGGAACCUCUGCAAUCUGCAAGUCAUGAUGCGAACAGAAGCCCUAGAGUGUCUGUGGGAACCAGGGAUAUGCUUGGACAGAAAAUGCCAAACUUCAGCAACUCUUCAACAUCCUUGUCUUCAUCACCUUCGUCAGGAGCUUAUUUUUCAGCGUCUGAUCCUGUUCUUUUGCCAUCUCAUGAUUCACGACCCCUUGGUGCAGUAGGCACAAUCCGAAGAGAAGUCGGUAGCCAACGUGCUCCAUUUGAAAAUUUUCCUACCAACUCUAACGGAAGCAAGACAGCCACUGAGGUUUUUGACUCUAGAAGUUCAACUGUACAAGCAAACAUGUCAAGCAAAUUCCAGGGGCUUGUAAAGAAUCCGC